CGUGGAGUCAUCCUUGAAAUACCACCCUGUGUAUGUUGAACAUCUAACCUCGACCCGUUAUCCGGGUUAGGAACAGUGCCAGGCGGGUAGUUUGACUGGGGCGGUCGCCUCCCAAAGAGUAACGGAGGCGCCCAAAGGUUCCCUCAGCCUGGUUGGCAAUCAGGCAUCGAGUGCAAUGGCAGAAGGGAGCUUGACUGCGAGACCUACAAGUCGAGCAGGGACGAAAGUCGGGCAUAGUGAUCCGGCGGUUGCGUGUGGAAGCGCCGUCGCUCAACGGAUAAAAGGUACCCCGGGGAUAACAGGCUCAUCUUCCCCAAGAGUCCAUAUCGACGGGAAGGUUUGGCACCUCGAUGUCGGCUCAUCGCAUCCUGGGGCUGAAGCAGGUCCCAAGGGUUGGGCUGUUCGCCCAUUAAAGCGGUACGCGAGCUGGGUUUAGAACGUCGUGAGACAGUUCGGUCCCUAUCCUCUGUAGCCGAAGGAGAUUUGAGAAAGGCUGUCCCUAGUACGAGAGGACCGGGAUGGACGCAGCUCUCGUGUGCCAGUUGUUCCGCCAGGAGCAUGGCUGGUUGGCGACCUGCGGGAAGGAUAAGCGCUGAAAGCAUCUAAGCGCGAAACCUGUUUCGAGAUGAGAUCUCCCACUGGGUAACCAGGUAAGGCCCGUGGUAGACCACCACGUUGAUAGGCCGGAUGUGUAAGCGCGGCAACGCGUUCAGCAGACCGGUACUAAUCGGCCGAGGGCUUGGGCUC
This 747-nucleotide ribosomal RNA is filed under the name Acidimicrobiaceae bacterium. RNAcentral describes it as "bacterial LSU rRNA". It matches the Rfam family "Bacterial large subunit ribosomal RNA", at positions 2179 to 2925 of the family's 2925-position model. Lineage: Bacteria; Bacillati; Actinomycetota; Acidimicrobiia; Acidimicrobiales; Acidimicrobiaceae. The record is from RNAcentral.